Molecule: transfer RNA, 92 nt
Organism: Clavispora lusitaniae ATCC 42720
Lineage: Eukaryota; Fungi; Ascomycota; Pichiomycetes; Serinales; Metschnikowiaceae
Rfam family: tRNA
About the family: Transfer RNA (tRNA) molecules are approximately 80 nucleotides in length. Their secondary structure includes four short double-helical elements and three loops (D, anti-codon, and T loops).
Source: Rfam
UUCCUCAUGGCCCAAUGGUCAAGGCGUCUGGCUACGAUUAAGUAACCACUUCUGGAACCAGAAGAUUCCAGGUUCGAGUCCUGGUGGGGAAG